This 460-nucleotide ribosomal RNA is filed under the name uncultured bacterium. RNAcentral describes it as "partial 16S ribosomal RNA". It matches the Rfam family "Bacterial small subunit ribosomal RNA", at positions 338 to 795 of the family's 1533-position model. The record is from RNAcentral.
CCUACGGGUGGCAGCAGUGAGGAAUAUUGGUCAAUGGACGAGAGUCUGAACCAGCCAAGUGGCGUGAAGGAUGACUGCCCUAUGGGUUGUAAACUUCUUUUAUAUGGGAAUAAAAUGUUCCACGUGUGGGAUUUUGUAUGUACCUUAUGAAUAAGGAUCGGCUAACUCCGUUCCAGCAGCCGCGGUAAUACGGAGGAUCCGAGCGUUAUCCGGAUUUCUUGGGUUUAAAGGGAGCGUAGGUGGAUUGUUAAGUUCGUUGUGAAAGUUUGGGGCUCAACCGUAAAAUUGCAGUUGAAACGGGCAGUCUUGAGUACAGUAGAGGUGGGCGGAAUUCGUGGUGUAGCGGUGAAAUGCUUAGAUAUCACGAAGAACUCCGAUUGCGAAGGCAGUUCACUGGACUGCAACUGACACUGAGGCUCGAAAGUGUGGGUAUCAAACAGGAUUAGAUACCCCAGUAGUC